AGGCUGAGAGGGACGGCCCACCCAACAGAAGCCACAACAGGUCCCCAAAGAAUUUCUGCAGGCUGGGACUCCUGAGUGAAAUGAAGAAGUGGGAUUCAACAGAGAGAAAUGUGAAGUCUGCCAGCUAGCCCUGAGAAGCAGGCAUGACAAGAGAGGAUGCCCGUGUUACAGAUGAGAAAAACAGAGGCCCUGGGAGGAAGCUUGCCUAAUGCCACUCAGGAGGUAGAGGCAAAGCUGGGAAAGGCCCUGGGUCCCCAGACUGCCCCUCUGGAACUCCACAUGCAGCCACCUGGCUGUCCUGCCCGGGAUGCCAUCCGCAGGCUAGGCUGGCGCUCAUGCCCAUGCCCUGCUGUCCACUGACACCCCGCAGAGCUUAACACCCCGCUGAGCCUGCCCUGCAGCCCUUGCCAAGUCUGUCCGAGUGGCCUCAGUCAUUGGCAAGUCACAUUGCUGACAUCGCAACUGCAUAAAAUUAAUUUAUUUAGUUAAAAAAAAAAAAAAAAAAAA
RNAcentral lists this long non-coding RNA (507 nucleotides) under Homo sapiens (human). RNAcentral describes it as "long independently transcribed non-coding RNA 2622, transcript variant 2 (LINC02622)". The record is from RNAcentral. Lineage: Eukaryota; Metazoa; Chordata; Mammalia; Primates; Hominidae.